This is a long non-coding RNA of Neogale vison (American mink), 214 nucleotides long. RefSeq lists it as uncharacterized. The record is from RefSeq and is a predicted model, not a curated record. The transcript has 3 exons. NCBI's taxonomy places the organism in Eukaryota, Metazoa, Chordata, Mammalia, Carnivora, Mustelidae.
CUCAAGGAGGAUGACCUUGAGGAAAUAAUGACCCAAGUACCAACCGAUGGUGAUAGAACAGUUGGUCUGAAUGAUGUGAUGGAUGCUAUCAGUGGGUUCAGGGGAGAGGUGAUUGAUAUCCAGGACUUAGACAAAUUUCUAGUGAGUGAGGGGAUCGAGCUCACAGAAGAAGACAUGAAGGAGCUGAUGUCUCAUUUGACUGUUAAUGGUGAGG